GAUGAACGCUAGCUACAGGCUUAACACAUGCAAGUCGAGGGGCAGCAUGAUUGAAGCUUGCUUCAAUCGAUGGCGACCGGCGCACGGGUGAGUAACACGUAUCCAACCUGCCGAUAACUCGGGGAUAGCCUUUCGAAAGAAAGAUUAAUACCCGAUAGUAUAGUAUUUCCGCAUGGUUUCACUAUUAAAGAACUUCGGUUAUCGAUGGGGAUGCGUUCCAUUAGAUAGUUGGCGGGGUAACGGCCCACCAAGUCAACGAUGGAUAGGGGUUCUGAGAGGAAGGUCCCCCACAGUGGAACUGAGACACGGUCCAAACUCCUACGGGAGGCAGCAGUGAGGAAUAUUGGUCAAUGGACGAGAGUCUGAACCAGCCAAGUAGCGUGAAGGAUGACUGCCCUAUGGGUUGUAAACUUCUUUUAUACGGGAAUAAAGUGGAGUAUGCAUACUCCUUUGUAUGUACCGUAUGAAUAAGGAUCGGCUAACUCCGUG
Molecule: ribosomal RNA, 489 nt
Filed under: uncultured bacterium
Lineage: Bacteria
Description: partial 16S ribosomal RNA
Rfam family: Bacterial small subunit ribosomal RNA
Source: RNAcentral